GCGACAAGUUUGAGGUUUGCGAGGCGACGUUUCGCUGCCUUAUAGCAACUAUUCGAUUGUCAGGAGUCUGGAUCAGUGGACGGGAAUUAGUUUGAAGAAGGAGAAAAUUCAGAAGCAGAUCACAGAAGUGGCGAAGUCUUCGCACCCCGAAGCAAGUUCCGGCAAAACUACAGCCCUUGACCGCUCCACCGUAAAAAUAACCAAUGAAGGCAAUGAAAGCAGUAGAAAAUCGAAUCCUUAAGCUACCUACUACAAUUAUUUUCCAUGCAGUGUAUUUAUCAGUAAUGCUCUGAAAAUACGGAGAUUUUCUCACCGUAAACGGAAGAACGAGGAGGGAUUUUUUAACUUGAAUGUUGCACUCAUGAAAAUUCUAAGUGAAACAUGAACGGCCUAAAACCGGGCUGUAAUGGAAAGGAAUAGUCGUUCGGUAAACUAAUUUAAAGUGUUCCACUUUUUAAUAGAGAUUAUCUUGCUCAUACUGUGCAUCGCAUCCCUCGCAGCCUUGCUUAAAGAUACUACACACCGUAUCUUCACUCCGCGCUUCAGUGUGGAGAUCGUGCAAAAUGUAACUUCACUUUGUGCUUCAUUGCGAUCGAAUUCUUCUAUUCCGUAGACUGAGCACUUCUUGGUCUUUGGAUUGCAUUGCACUCAUUUUUUCUUGUAGUUUUCCUCAAGUUCGCUUCUACUGUCAGCUAAAUCUGCCUAUAGGCUCCUUCACAAUGUUCUAUAAGGCUUAUCAUUGGUGUACAACUGUACAUAUGUGGAUAAUUAAUGCCACAGCAUGAGAAAAGUAUUCUGACUUUUGGAAGAUUAAGGGAGAUUUCUUUAGGGAAUAGCAUCCAGUAAUUCGAUGGCUAGUGAACCAUCUUGCACUGAAGUUAUAGGCUGAUGGUGGUUCUUGUCGGUCGCUCAACCUGACUCGGUCUCAUUGCGUUGCAAUGAAGACGACACUAAAUCUUGUUUCGAAAUAUACGUUUUGUACAGAAAACAAAUUUUCUCGACGUAAAGUAUCAUAGUGCCCGGUAUUAAAAAAUAUAAAAUUCUGUUAGUUGCUUACUUCUGUCGAGAAAAGAUACUCCUGAUUUUUGCAACGAACUCUAACGCAGAACAUUCUCCGCAAAACAUUUAUGUGCAAAACAUCCUCCGACGACGUCUGAUGUCCCGGAAUGUUGAUAGUUCAUUGUAAUUAUCGAACAGCACCUGCAAAUACUACCUAUAUCGAUAAUGGCAAAUACUCACUGUAAUAUCAUUGAACUUUUUUU
This is a long non-coding RNA of Hyalella azteca, 1262 nucleotides long. RefSeq lists it as uncharacterized. The record is from RefSeq and is a predicted model, not a curated record. Lineage: Eukaryota; Metazoa; Arthropoda; Malacostraca; Amphipoda; Hyalellidae. The transcript has 2 exons.